This 205-nucleotide unclassified non-coding RNA is filed under the name uncultured Alphaproteobacteria bacterium. RNAcentral describes it as "contains 16S-23S intergenic spacer region". The record is from RNAcentral. Lineage: Bacteria; Pseudomonadati; Pseudomonadota; Alphaproteobacteria.
UCCGGCUUAUCACCGGCGGUUUCUUUAGAGUGCCCAACUAAAUGAUGGCAACUAAAGACGAGGGUUGCGCUCGUUGCGGGACUUAACCCAACAUCUCACGACACGAGCUGACGACAGCCAUGCAGCACCUGUCUCCGGUCCAGCCGAACUGAAAAGGUCCAUCUCUGGUCCUCGCAACCGGGAUGUCAAGGCCAGGUAAGGUUCU